RNAcentral lists this ribosomal RNA (240 nucleotides) under uncultured bacterium. RNAcentral describes it as "partial 16S ribosomal RNA". It matches the Rfam family "Bacterial small subunit ribosomal RNA", at positions 118 to 353 of the family's 1533-position model. The record is from RNAcentral.
UGGGUAACCUGCCUUAUAGUGGGGGAGUAGCCUUUCGAAAGGAAGAUUAAUACCGCAUAAGAUUGUAGUAUCGCAUGAUAUAGCAAUUAAAGGAGCAAUCCGCUAUAAGAUGGACCCGCGUCGCAUUAGCUAGUUGGUGAGGUAAUGGCUCACCAAGGCGACGAUGCGUAGCCGACCUGAGAGGGUGAUCGGCCACAUUGGGACUGAGACACGGCCCAGACUCCUACGGGAGGCAGCAUG